This 468-nucleotide ribosomal RNA is filed under the name uncultured bacterium. RNAcentral describes it as "partial 16S ribosomal RNA". It matches the Rfam family "Bacterial small subunit ribosomal RNA", at positions 28 to 507 of the family's 1533-position model. The record is from RNAcentral.
GACGAACGCUGGCGGCGUGCUUAACACAUGCAAGUCGAACGGAAAGGCCCUGCUUUUGUGGGGUGCUCGAGUGGCGAACGGGUGAGUAACACGUGAGUAACCUGCCCUGGACUUUGGGAUAACUUCAGGAAACUGGGGCUAAUACCGGAUAGGAGCUCCUGCUGCAUGGUGGGGGUUGGAAAGUUUCGGCGGUUGGGGAUGGACGCGCGGCUUAUCAGCUUGUUGGUUGGGUAGUGGCUUACCAAGGCUUUGACGGGUAGCCGGCCUGAGAGGGUGACCGGCCACAUUGGGACUGAGAUACGGCCCAGACUCCUACGGGCGGCAGCAGUGGGGAAUAUUGCACAAUGGGCGGAAGCCUGAUGCAGCAACGCCGCGUGCGGGAUGACGGCCUCAGGGUUGUAAACCGCUUUCGCAUGUGACGAAGCGUGAGUGACGGUAAUGGGUAAAGAAGCACCGGCUAACUACGUG